Molecule: ribosomal RNA, 502 nt
Filed under: uncultured bacterium
Lineage: Bacteria
Description: partial 16S ribosomal RNA
Rfam family: Bacterial small subunit ribosomal RNA
Source: RNAcentral
AUUGAACGCUGGCGGCAGGCUUAACACAUGCAAGUCGAGCGGGGUGAUGGUGCUUGCACUAUCACUUAGCGGCGGACGGGUGAGUAAUGCUUAGGAAUCUGCCUAUUAGUGGGGGACAACAUCUCGAAAGGGAUGCUAAUACCGCAUACGUCCUACGGGAGAAGGCAGGGGAUCACUUGUGACCUUGCGCUAAUAGAUGAGCCUAAGUCGGAUUAGCUAGUUGGUGGGGUAAAGGCCUACCAAGGCGACGGUCUGUAGCGGGUCUGAGAGGAUGAUCCGCCACACUGGGACUGAGACACGGCCCAGACUCCUACGGGAGGCAGCAGUGGGGAAUAUUGGACAAUGGGGGAACCCUGAUCCAGCCAUGCCGCGUGUGUGAAGAAGGCCUUAUGGUUGUAAAGCACUUUAAGCGAGGAGGAGGCUCUUUUGGUUAAUACCCAAGAUGAGUGGACGUUACUCGCAGAAUAAGCACCGGCUAACUCUGUGCCAGCCGCCGCGGUAA